RNAcentral lists this ribosomal RNA (253 nucleotides) under uncultured bacterium. RNAcentral describes it as "partial 16S ribosomal RNA". It matches the Rfam family "Bacterial small subunit ribosomal RNA", at positions 524 to 776 of the family's 1533-position model. The record is from RNAcentral.
UACGUAGGGUGCAAGCGUUGUCCGGAAUUAUUGGGCGUAAAGAGCUCGUAGGCGGUCUGUCACGUCGGCUGUGAAAACCCGGGGCUCAACCCCGGGCCUGCAGUCGAUACGGGCAGACUAGAGUGCGGUAGGGGAGACUGGAAUUCCUGGUGUAGCGGUGGAAUGCGCAGAUAUCAGGAGGAACACCGGUGGCGAAGGCGGAUCUCUGGGCCAUUACUGACGCUGAGGAGCGAAAGCGUGGGGAGCGAACAGG